RNAcentral lists this non-coding RNA (918 nucleotides) under Phrynopus sp. KU291634. Its description in RNAcentral is "partial 12S ribosomal RNA". It matches the Rfam family "Bacterial small subunit ribosomal RNA", at positions 335 to 1522 of the family's 1533-position model. The record is from RNAcentral. Lineage: Eukaryota; Metazoa; Chordata; Amphibia; Anura; Strabomantidae.
UCCUGACCUUACAAUCAAUCUUUACUUAACUUACACAUGCAAGUCUCCGCACCCCAGUGAAAAUGCCCUUACCCCCCCUUCAGGAAUAAGGAGCCGGUAUCAGGCACAACAACCUGCCCAAAACACCUAGCCACGCCACUCCCACAAGGGUUCUCAGCAGUGAUAAACAUUAAAUAUAAGUGUCAACUUGACUUAGUUAAAGUAAACAGAGCCGGCCAAUCUGGUGCCAGCCGCCGCGGUUACACCACAUGACUCAAGUUGAUUUAAAUCGGCGUAAAACGUGAUUAAAGCCACCUCCCCAUUAGAGUUGAAAUUAAACCUGCCUGUAGCAAGACCGUUUUUUUUAAACCCAAACACGAAAGUUACUCUAAUUAUUUACUUGAAUUCACGAAAACUUGGACACAAACUGAGAUUAGAUACCUCACUAUGCCAAGUCGUAAACUCUUACUUACAUCCUCAUCGCCAGGGCACUACGAGCUAAGCUUAAAACCCAAAGGACUUGACGGUACCCCACAUCCCCCUAGAGGAGCCUGUCCCAUAAUCGAUACCCCCCGCUAAACCUCACCAUUCUUAGCCUUUCAGCCUGUAUACUUCCGUCGUCAGCUAACCACAUGAGUGAAAUUCAGUUAGCCUAAUGAUCUUACAUCAAAACUUCAGGUCAAUGUGCAGCAAAUAGAAUGGAAACAGAUGGGCUACACUUUCUAACAUAGAAAAUAACGAAAGACACCGUGAAAUCUGGGUCAAAAGGUGGAUUUAGAAGUAAAAAGAAAUUAGAGUAUUCUUUUUAAUCUGGCACUGGGGCGCGUACACACCGCCCGUCACCCUCUUCGAAGCAAUUAAUAAAGUAAAUAACCACCCCAGCAGAAGAGAAGAGGUAAGUCGUAACAUGGUAAGUAUACCGGAAGGUGUACUUGGAAA